RNAcentral lists this transfer RNA (69 nucleotides) under Ictidomys tridecemlineatus (thirteen-lined ground squirrel). RNAcentral describes it as "Spermophilus tridecemlineatus (thirteen-lined ground squirrel) tRNA". It matches the Rfam family "tRNA". Rfam says of the family: Transfer RNA (tRNA) molecules are approximately 80 nucleotides in length. Their secondary structure includes four short double-helical elements and three loops (D, anti-codon, and T loops). The record is from Rfam by way of RNAcentral. Lineage: Eukaryota; Metazoa; Chordata; Mammalia; Rodentia; Sciuridae.
GGGAGUGUAGCUCAAUGGUAGAGCAUGUGUUUACAAUGAACAAAGUUCUGGUUUCAAUCCCCAGCACCA